RNAcentral lists this ribosomal RNA (497 nucleotides) under uncultured bacterium. RNAcentral describes it as "partial 16S ribosomal RNA". It matches the Rfam family "Bacterial small subunit ribosomal RNA", at positions 28 to 507 of the family's 1533-position model. The record is from RNAcentral.
GAUGAACGCUGGCGGCGUGCCUAAUACAUGCAAGUCGAGCGAACAGAUAAGGAGCUUGCUCCUUUGAAGUUAGCGGCGGACGGGUGAGUAACACGUGGGUAACCUACCUAUAAGACUGGGAUAACUUCGGGAAACCGGAGCUAAUACCGGAUAACAUUUAGAACCGCAUGGUUCUAAAGUGAAAGAUGGUUUUGCUAUCACUUAUAGAUGGACCCGCGCCGUAUGAGCUAGUUGGUAAGGUAACGGCUUACCAAGGCGACGAUACGUAGCCGACGUGAGAGAGGGAUCGGCCACACUAGAGCUGGGACGGGGUCCAGGCGCCUGCGGGAGGCAGCAGUAGGGAAUGUUACGCAAUAGGGGAGAGCCUGACGGAGCAACGCCGCGUGAGAGAUAGAGAGUUUCGGCUCGUGAAACUCUGUUAUUAGGGAAGAACAAAUGUGUAAGUAGCUGUGCACAUCUUGACGGUACCUAGUCAGAAAGCCACGGCUAACUACGUG